This 3008-nucleotide ribosomal RNA is filed under the name Salmonella enterica subsp. enterica serovar Infantis. RNAcentral describes it as "23S ribosomal RNA". It matches the Rfam family "Bacterial large subunit ribosomal RNA". The record is from RNAcentral. Lineage: Bacteria; Pseudomonadati; Pseudomonadota; Gammaproteobacteria; Enterobacterales; Enterobacteriaceae.
GGUUAAGCGACUAAGCGUACACGGUGGAUGCCCUGGCAGUCAGAGGCGAUGAAGGGCGUGCUAAUCUGCGAUAAGCGCCGGUAAGGUGAUAUGAACCGUUAUAACCGGCGAUACCCGAAUGGGGAAACCCAGUGUGAUUCGUCACACUAUCAUUAACUGAAUCCAUAGGUUAAUGAGGCGAACCGGGGGAACUGAAACAUCUAAGUACCCCGAGGAAAAGAAAUCAACCGAGAUUCCCCCAGUAGCGGCGAGCGAACGGGGAGGAGCCCAGAGCCUGAAUCAGCAUGUGUGUUAGUGGAAGCGUCUGGAAAGGCGCGCGAUACAGGGUGACAGCCCCGUACACAAAAGCGCAUGUGCUGUGAGCUCGAUGAGUAGGGCGGGACACGUGGUAUCCUGUCUGAAUAUGGGGGGACCAUCCUCCAAGGCUAAAUACUCCUGACUGACCGAUAGUGAACCAGUACCGUGAGGGAAAGGCGAAAAGAACCCCGGCGAGGGGAGUGAAAAAGAACCUGAAACCGUGUACGUACAAGCAGUGGGAGCCCCACCACCAAAGCAUUCUCUGGUGUUGAAGGCCCUGCAAAGCAGCAUCGCGGUGGCGGAGCGUCGUUUGCGACGCCCAACACACAAAACAAGCGGUGAGUGCUUUGGGGUGGGGUGACUGCGUACCUUUUGUAUAAUGGGUCAGCGACUUAUAUUCUGUAGCAAGGUUAACCGAAUAGGGGAGCCGGAGGGAAACCGAGUCUUAAUUGGGCGUUAAGUUGCAGGGUAUAGACCCGAAACCCGGUGAUCUAGCCAUGGGCAGGUUGAAGGUUGGGUAACACUAACUGGAGGACCGAACCGACUAAUGUUGAAAAAUUAGCGGAUGACCUGUGGCUGGGGGUGAAAGGCCAAUCAAACCGGGAGAUAGCUGGUUCUCCCCGAAAGCUAUUUAGGUAGCGCCUCGUGAAUUCAUCUCCGGGGGUAGAGCACUGUUUCGGCUAGGGGGCCAUCCCGGCUUACCAACCCGAUGCAAACUGCGAAUACCGGAGAAUGUUAUCACGGGAGACACACGGCGGGUGCUAACGUCCGUCGUGAAGAGGGAAACAACCCAGACCGCCAGCUAAGGUCCCAAAGUCAUGGUUAAGUGGGAAACGAUGUGGGAAGGCCCAGACAGCCAGGAUGUUGGCUUAGAAGCAGCCAUCAUUUAAAGAAAGCGUAAUAGCUCACUGGUCGAGUCGGCCUGCGCGGAAGAUGUAACGGGGCUAAACCAUGCACCGAAGCUGCGGCAGCGACACUCAGGUGUUGUUGGGUAGGGGAGCGUUCUGUAAGCCUGCGAAGGUGGCCUGUGAGGGUUGCUGGAGGUAUCAGAAGUGCGAAUGCUGACAUAAGUAACGAUAAAGCGGGUGAAAAGCCCGCUCGCCGGAAGACCAAGGGUUCCUGUCCAACGUUAAUCGGGGCAGGGUGAGUCGACCCCUAAGGCGAGGCCGAAAGGCGUAGUCGAUGGGAAACGGGUUAAUAUUCCCGUACUUGGUGUUACUGCGAAGGGGGGACGGAGAAGGCUAUGUUGGCCGGGCGACGGUUGUCCCGGUUUAAGCGUGUAGGUGUGUGUUCCAGGUAAAUCCGGUUCACUUUAACACUGAGGCGUGAUGACGAGGCACUACGGUGCUGAAGCAACAAAUGCCCUGCUUCCAGGAAAAGCCUCUAAGCAUCAGGUAACAUCAAAUCGUACCCCAAACCGACACAGGUGGUCAGGUAGAGAAUACCAAGGCGCUUGAGAGAACUCGGGUGAAGGAACUAGGCAAAAUGGUGCCGUAACUUCGGGAGAAGGCACGCUGACACGUAGGUGAAGUGAUUUACUCAUGGAGCUGAAGUCAGUCGAAGAUACCAGCUGGCUGCAACUGUUUAUUAAAAACACAGCACUGUGCAAACACGAAAGUGGACGUAUACGGUGUGACGCCUGCCCGGUGCCGGAAGGUUAAUUGAUGGGGUCAGCGCAAGCGAAGCUCCUGAUCGAAGCCCCGGUAAACGGCGGCCGUAACUAUAACGGUCCUAAGGUAGCGAAAUUCCUUGUCGGGUAAGUUCCGACCUGCACGAAUGGCGUAAUGAUGGCCAGGCUGUCUCCACCCGAGACUCAGUGAAAUUGAACUCGCUGUGAAGAUGCAGUGUACCCGCGGCAAGACGGAAAGACCCCGUGAACCUUUACUAUAGCUUGACACUGAACAUUGAGCCUUGAUGUGUAGGAUAGGUGGGAGGCUUUGAAGUGUGGACGCCAGUCUGCAUGGAGCCGACCUUGAAAUACCACCCUUUAAUGUUUGAUGUUCUAACGUGGACCCGUAAUCCGGGUUGCGGACAGUGUCUGGUGGGUAGUUUGACUGGGGCGGUCUCCUCCUAAAGAGUAACGGAGGAGCACGAAGGUUGGCUAAUCCUGGUCGGACAUCAGGAGGUUAGUGCAAUGGCAUAAGCCAGCUUGACUGCGAGCGUGACGGCGCGAGCAGGUGCGAAAGCAGGUCAUAGUGAUCCGGUGGUUCUGAAUGGAAGGGCCAUCGCUCAACGGAUAAAAGGUACUCCGGGGAUAACAGGCUGAUACCGCCCAAGAGUUCAUAUCGACGGCGGUGUUUGGCACCUCGAUGUCGGCUCAUCACAUCCUGGGGCUGAAGUAGGUCCCAAGGGUAUGGCUGUUCGCCAUUUAAAGUGGUACGCGAGCUGGGUUUAGAACGUCGUGAGACAGUUCGGUCCCUAUCUGCCGUGGGCGCUGGAGAACUGAGGGGGGCUGCUCCUAGUACGAGAGGACCGGAGUGGACGCAUCACUGGUGUUCGGGUUGUCAUGCCAAUGGCACUGCCCGGUAGCUAAAUGCGGAAGAGAUAAGUGCUGAAAGCAUCUAAGCACGAAACUUGCCCCGAGAUGAGUUCUCCCUGAGACUUAAAGUCUCCUGAAGGAACGUUGAAGACGACGACGUUGAUAGGCCGGGUGUGUAAGCGCAGCGAUGCGUUGAGCUAACCGGUACUAAUGAACCGUGAGGCUUAACCUU